Molecule: long non-coding RNA, 551 nt
Organism: Carassius auratus (goldfish)
Lineage: Eukaryota; Metazoa; Chordata; Actinopteri; Cypriniformes; Cyprinidae
Exons: 2
Source: RefSeq, a predicted model, not a curated record
GGGUAAUUAAAAAAAAUCACACAAAGUCCCUAGAUAAUACUAAAAGACAAAAUAUGGCCAUAUUUACUGUAUUCUCUUUGUUUGAAACAGCAUAAAGAAUUGUGGGAAAGCAGAGGGAAAUUAUGAUGCCACAUUAAAACUGAGUUUUCUAAAUCAGGUACCAUUCUCAUCUCUAGGGAUGCAGAAAGGAAUGGUUCUGUCAAAUACUGCCCAAAUUAUCAGAGAUUCUGAGACUGCAGGAUCCUGGGAGUUUACAACUUGAGAUUGUUACUCUGGCAAGAGACUAUCCUGACAUGAGUGAGCAGCAUAUUAUUGCUCUCCUAAACCUGAAGACCAACCUUUCAAGCUCAGAUCUGCGCAGGAUCAAAAAGUGUCUGAGUGAAAACAGAGGCACACUGGACACUCUGGAGUCCUCUACUUCCUUACUCACUAAAAAAUUCAGCAAAUGGAAAAUCAUCUAAAUGCCCUGUUACAUCUAUUGCUAAUGUUAAAAUACUGUGAUAUCUUUGUUGUUAUGUAAUAUUUAUUAUUAAAACACUCAUGGUAUUAUC